Molecule: ribosomal RNA, 91 nt
Filed under: Microcebus murinus (gray mouse lemur)
Lineage: Eukaryota; Metazoa; Chordata; Mammalia; Primates; Cheirogaleidae
Source: RNAcentral
GUCUACGGCCAUACCACCCUGAAUGUGCCUGAUCUCAUCUGAUCUCAGAAGCUAGGCAGGGUCGGCCUGGUGAGUACUUGGAUGGGAGAAU